AUAGAGAGCUUUGGUGCAGCACUGGAAGUAAUCCCUCUAUACUUCAUGUACUGGCCAGCAAGAAGCAUUACUUAUGCAACGGUAGAGGCAGAGCUUAAGGGUGUCUAUUUGCGGUAUUGUGGACUUGAUCGAACCGGGUCAUUGGUUUUUAAUGAGAAGUUAGAAGUGGCACAGAAGUGUUCUUGCCUCCAGCACUGGAUUCACCAGUGGACCAAUGGAAACGUGCUGUUCUCCAGACUUGAGGGAGUUGAUACAAUACUGACAAAUAUCGGAGUAGCAGUCAGGUUAACUUUAACUUUUAAUAUUAUUUUACAGUAUUGCUGUUUUUAUGGUAAUUUCGAUCAAAUACAUGCAGUCUUGGUGAGCACAAAGAUACUUUUUUCAUUAGAGACCAAACCCAAACUGAAUGGUAUUAUAUGUUAUUUAUUUGGUUUAAACCAGGGGUUUCCUACCCUGCUCCUGA
Long non-coding RNA from Sinocyclocheilus rhinocerous, 463 nucleotides. RefSeq lists it as uncharacterized. The record is from RefSeq and is a predicted model, not a curated record. NCBI's taxonomy places the organism in Eukaryota, Metazoa, Chordata, Actinopteri, Cypriniformes, Cyprinidae. The transcript has 3 exons.